GACGAACGCUGGCGGCGUGCCUAAUACAUGCAAGUUGAGCGAUGAAGCUUGGUGCUUGCUCCAAUUUGAAGAGCAGCGAACGGGUGAGUAACGCGUGGGGAAUCUGCCUUUGAGCGGGGGACAACAUUUGGAAACGAAUGCUAAUACCGCAUAACAACUUUAAACAUAAGUUUUAAUUUUGAAAGAUGCAAUUGCAUCACUCAAAGAUGAUCCCGCGUUGUAUUAGCUAGUUGGUGAGGUAAACGCUCACCAAGGCGAUGAUACAUAGCCGACCUGAGAGGGUGAUCGGCCAAAUUGGGAAUGAGACAAGGCCCAAACUCCUACGGGAGGCAGCAGUAGGGAAUCUUCGGCAAUGGACGAAAGUCUGACCGAGCAACGCCGCGUGAGUGAAGAAGGUUUUCGGAUCGUAAAACUCUGUUGGUAGGGAAGAACGUUGGUGAGAGUGGAAAGCUCAUCAAGUGACGGUAACUACCCAGAAAGGGACGGCUAACUACGUG
Molecule: ribosomal RNA, 497 nt
Filed under: uncultured bacterium
Lineage: Bacteria
Description: partial 16S ribosomal RNA
Rfam family: Bacterial small subunit ribosomal RNA
Source: RNAcentral